UACGUAGGUGGCAAGCGUUGUCCGGAAUUAUUGGGCGUAAAGCGCGCGCAGGUAGUUUCUUAAGUCUGAUGUGAAAGCCCACGGCUCAACCGUGGAGGGUCAUUGGAAACUGGGGAACUUGAGUGCAGAAGAGGAAAGUGGAAUUCCAAGUGUAGCGGUGAAAUGCGUAGAGAUUUGGAGGAACACCAGUGGCGAAGGCGACUUUCUGGUCUGUAACUGACACUGAGGCGCGAAAGCGUGGGGAGCAAACAGG
RNAcentral lists this ribosomal RNA (253 nucleotides) under uncultured bacterium. Its description in RNAcentral is "partial 16S ribosomal RNA". It matches the Rfam family "Bacterial small subunit ribosomal RNA", at positions 524 to 776 of the family's 1533-position model. The record is from RNAcentral.